Molecule: unclassified non-coding RNA, 570 nt
Filed under: Hevea brasiliensis (rubber tree)
Lineage: Eukaryota; Viridiplantae; Streptophyta; Magnoliopsida; Malpighiales; Euphorbiaceae
Source: RNAcentral
AAGUGAUUCAACUGAAACAAGUAUUAGGGUUUGUAGGUAUAGCGGGAAGAGGGAAGAUACAAGAUGAGUGUAUGGAACUACGUGGUUACGGCUCACAAACCAACAAAUGUUACACAUUCCUGUGUUGGCAAUUUCACCGGUCCUCAAGAGCUCAAUCUUAUCAUUGCGAAAUGUACUCGAAUCGAGAUUCAUUUACUUACUCCCCAAGGUUUACAGCCUAUGUUAGAUGUGCCAAUAUAUGGGAGGAUCGCGACACUUGAGCUUUUUCGUCCUCACGGUGAAACACAAGAUCUUCUCUUCAUCGCAACAGAGCGAUAUAAAUUCUGUGUCCUUCAAUGGGAUACUGAGGCAUCUGAAGUUAUCACAAGAGCAAUGGGAGAUGUGUCAGACCGAAUAGGCCGUCCCACAGAUAAUGGUCAGAUUGGUAUAAUUGAUCCAGAUUGCAGAUUGAUCGGGCUACAUCUUUAUGAUGGACUAUUUAAGGUUAUUCCAUUUGAUAACAAAGGCCAACUGAAGGAAGCUUUUAACAUCAGGCUCGAGGAGCUUCAAGUUUUAGAUAUUAAAUUCUUG